UGCGUAGGGUGCAAGCGUUGUCCGGAAUUAUUGGGCGUAAAGAGCUCGUAGGCGGUCUGUCGCGUCUGCUGUGAAAACUCAGGGCUUAACCCUGAGCUUGCAGUGGGUACGGGCAGACUAGAGUGCGGUAGGGGAGACUGGAAUUCCUGGUGUAGCGGUGAAAUGCGCAGAUAUCAGGAGGAACACCGGUGGCGAAGGCGGGUCUCUGGGCCGUAACUGACGCUGAGGAGCGAAAGCAUGGGGAGCGAACAGG
RNAcentral lists this ribosomal RNA (253 nucleotides) under uncultured bacterium. RNAcentral's name for it is "partial 16S ribosomal RNA". It matches the Rfam family "Bacterial small subunit ribosomal RNA", at positions 524 to 776 of the family's 1533-position model. The record is from RNAcentral.